GCCGAAGUGGCGGAAUGGUAGACGCGGCGGUCUCAAAAACCGUUGUCCUAACGGACAUGUGAGUUCGACUCUCACCUUCGGCACCA
RNAcentral lists this transfer RNA (86 nucleotides) under SAR202 cluster bacterium. RNAcentral's name for it is "tRNA-Leu". It matches the Rfam family "tRNA". From Rfam's summary of the family: Transfer RNA (tRNA) molecules are approximately 80 nucleotides in length. Their secondary structure includes four short double-helical elements and three loops (D, anti-codon, and T loops). Further hydrogen bonds mediate the characteristic L-shaped molecular structure. tRNAs have two regions of fundamental functional importance: the anti-codon, which is responsible for specific mRNA codon recognition, and the 3' end, to which the tRNAs corresponding amino acid is attached (by aminoacyl-tRNA synthetases). tRNAs cope with the degeneracy of the genetic code in two manners: having more than one tRNA (with a specific anti-codon) for a particular amino acid; and 'wobble' base-pairing, i.e. permitting non-standard base-pairing at the 3rd anti-codon position. Lineage: Bacteria; Bacillati; Chloroflexota; Dehalococcoidia. The record is from RNAcentral.